This 492-nucleotide ribosomal RNA is filed under the name uncultured bacterium. Its description in RNAcentral is "partial 16S ribosomal RNA". It matches the Rfam family "Bacterial small subunit ribosomal RNA", at positions 29 to 507 of the family's 1533-position model. The record is from RNAcentral.
AGUGAACGCUGGCGGUAGGCCUAACACAUGCAAGUCGAACGGCAGCACAGUAAGAGCUUGCUCUUACGGGUGGCGAGUGGCGGACGGGUGAGGAAUACAUCGGAAUCUACUUUUUCGUGGGGGAUAACGUAGGGAAACUUACGCUAAUACCGCAUACGACCUACGGGUGAAAGCAGGGGAUCUUCGGACCUUGCGCGAUUGAAUGAGCCGAUGUCGGAUUAGCUAGUUGGCGGGGUAAAGGCCCACCAAGGCGACGAUCCGUAGCUGGUCUGAGAGGAUGAUCAGCCACACUGGAACUGAGACACGGUCCAGACUCCUACGGGAGGCAGCAGUGGGGAAUAUUGGACAAAGGGCGCAAGCCUGAUCCAGCCAUACCGCGUGGGUGAAGGAGGCCUUCGGGUUGUAAAGCCCCUUUGUUGGGAAAGAAAAGCAGCAGGUUAAUACCCCGCUGUUCUGACGGUACCCAAAGAAUAAGCACCGGCUAACUUCGUG